UACGUAGGUGGCAAGCGUUGUCCGGAUUUAUUGGGCGUAAAGAGCUCGUAGGCGGCUUGUCGCGUCGAAUGUGAAAUCUCAGGGCUCAACUCUGACAUUGCAUUCGAUACGGGCAGGCUAGAGUUCGGUAGGGGAGACUGGAAUUCCUGGUGUAGCGGUGAAAUGCGCAGAUAUCAGGAGGAACACCGGUGGCGAAGGCGGGUCUCUGGGCCGAUACUGACGCUGAGGAGCGAAAGCGUGGGGAGCGAACAGG
This 253-nucleotide ribosomal RNA is filed under the name uncultured bacterium. RNAcentral describes it as "partial 16S ribosomal RNA". It matches the Rfam family "Bacterial small subunit ribosomal RNA", at positions 524 to 776 of the family's 1533-position model. The record is from RNAcentral.